This is a long non-coding RNA of Astatotilapia calliptera (eastern happy), 1065 nucleotides long. The record is from Ensembl. Lineage: Eukaryota; Metazoa; Chordata; Actinopteri; Cichliformes; Cichlidae.
CAAAGGUUUAUUUGCAUGACGCACAAACAGACACAAUUGAAAGGUACAAAUGUGCAUGACACGAAUUCAAACGUGCUGCAGAUGUGUGUCACCAGUUGAUCUGGCUGUAGGCUGUGGCACUUGGCCAGAGGUGGCGCUGGUUGACUCGACUCCAUGUUGGUGCACAGAGCAAACUGCUCGCUUUAGUUGUGGAGCAAAAACGCUGAAUUCGGUGAAAUAAACCGUGCGAGUGGAACGAUAACGACGACAAGGGUCUCCCGAUCGUUUACUCUUGCUGUCCUGUGAACAACAACGGCGUGGUGUUACUUGUUUGCUGUUUUCGCGAUCGAGUCGCGCAUGAGGAUAUCACCAGGUAAACUCGCCACAUUUUUAAACAUUUUGUUGUUCAACAGCAUCAAGACUGACGGAGUGUGUUUGAGACAACCUCACAAGUGUCACAGAUGACACAUUUGGCGUUUUUUUGCUGGUUUGUCGGUAGGAGCUCCUGAAACGCAAGACUGCCACACAUCUGUUCGACCAACGCCAGUUGAUCUAAACGCCAGUUGAUCUGGAACACCGGAGAGCAGAGGCAGUCGCUCGUUAAGCUUAACGUGGGAAUGCUUUACAAACAUUCAGAGAUGGACUUACACACUUGCUUUACUUCUCUCGGGGAUAACUUUGUCAGAGAUGAAAUGCCAGGUUGCUAGCGAAGCUCCACAUGCUAUCCAGACCACCGACAGGUCCCGCAUGCCACAGCUGCUCUAUCACGUGAUGCAUACUGCUCCGACUGCUAACGUUCUGAGUAAAUCCUAAGAGAAGAUCAGAACCAUCAAUGAAUAAACAAUUUUCUUUGUCAGUUGGGCUCCAACGGUGUUGCAACUUACAAGAACUCUGUAAUACGGCUGUCAGGAUCUUCAUUUAAUUAGAGCCGCAAUGCUUUCAGUAUGUUGCCCCACCUUACUUCAAUUGUGUGAAAGACGGUUUUUAAACUAAUUAUUUUAUUUACACUAUCCUGUAAAUGUACAUAAAUUCUCUGCACAAGACACAUUUUAUAUAUGCAACCUGUAUAGCUCUUGUCCUAUUUCC